Molecule: long non-coding RNA, 1613 nt
Filed under: Malus domestica (apple)
Lineage: Eukaryota; Viridiplantae; Streptophyta; Magnoliopsida; Rosales; Rosaceae
Description: long non-coding RNA (MDOM_LNC000123)
Source: RNAcentral
ACAGUAGAGUAGAUUGAAAAUCAUAUCAUCGAAGGAAAUCUCCAAUACCAAGAUUUGCCACGAAUCCUUGUCGAUACGAAAACUCUGCUACUAGAACCUGGAGGGAUAAAAACAAGAGUGAGUGGGCCUAAAAAUAACGCUUUAAUAAAGAACUUCUAAAUGUUAUAAUCCCUUUCUGUAAUACCUGUAUAGUUUCCAGGAAAUCAUACUAUGUAUAAUUAUGAAAUCAAAUGUAAAUAAAUAGUAAAUACGGGAAUAUUCCAAAUCACUACAUAUCGACAGCAGCAUAAAACAAAAUUAGGUGCUCAUCAAUCUAUGAUCACACAUGAGUCGGAGUUGCCUAAUGCAACCUAUUUGACUCAUAAAUCAAUCUAUGAUAACACAUGAAUCGGAGUUGUCUAAUGCAACCUGCAUGACUCAUAAAUCAAUCUAUGAUAACACAUAAGUGAAAGUUGUCUAAUGCAACCUAUACGACUCAUAGGCAACCAGUACGACAGUGUUAGAGUUGCCUAGUAUUGCAACCUGUAUGACAAUGUCGGAGUUGCCUAGUUUUGCAACCUGUACGACAGUGUCGGAGUUGCCUAGUAUUGCAACCUGUAAGAUAGUGUUGAAGUUGCAUAAAACACAAAUAUAGUCAUGCCAUAACUCAAUCAUUUCAGAUAACACCAUAAACUCACCUGAACUUACCUGCAUGUCUUGCGUUCACCUUAACACUUCAAAGUAUUCACAACAAUUAUAUAUAGGUAAUAUGCAUAUGGAUAUACCAUGAUGCAAUCUAAAACUUAACCAUAUCAUAGUAUUUUAGAAUAUAUAUAUAUAUAUAUAUAUAACAUGGCAUAAAAUGCAUAAAUCAAUUUGAAAGCGUUUGUGGAGCUAUCAGUUAUAUAUAUACAAUAAAAAGGAAAAGAUCCACUCAUCUGAGGUUUGCGCUACGACUCCCGAGCAUAAAUAUCGAGACGUCACGAACAAUCAUGACCUAGAAAAAAUAUUCAAUCGCAUCUCAGAACUCUUAUGAAUAAAACACGUAACUUACAUAAAACACAUCCCAAGGACGUUCUAGAAUGAUUUGAGACCCAUUCACGAAGAGUCAACCGUCAGUCAAAGAUCAAUGGUAGGGUCCACAACCUUACGUAACUCGAUCCAGAAGAUCCGUACUUCUGAUUUCCGAUCCGUAAAUUCCAAAGAUCCACAUUAUGCUUCUAGAACAACAUCCUAAAGUUUUGGAACGAUCCAACAGUCAGAUCUCCGGUAAUUGCUAAAACUAACUGGCGACCGAUGUUUUAUUUUAAGAACUUACAAAUCUGAUUCGGAAAGAUCCAUAUAUCGGAUUCCUGAUUUGUAAGUUCCUAUGGUCCUCAAAUAUUACGUACUAUAAGGUACUAAGGUUUGGUGACGAUCGAACGGUCUGAUCGUCAAUUAUCUUAACACAUAAAUUUAAUCCUCUUUUGACAAUUGUAGUACAAGUAUAAGUAGGGAUCGUUCUAGACCGACGAUUAGGAGGGCUUGCUAAUAGCCUCUGAACUGACUCAAAAACAUAAAACUAAACUUAAAAACACUUAACAAGACUCACAAGACUCAAUGCAAACUUAAAAUACUCAAAACAACUUAAAACA